This 254-nucleotide ribosomal RNA is filed under the name uncultured bacterium. RNAcentral describes it as "partial 16S ribosomal RNA". It matches the Rfam family "Bacterial small subunit ribosomal RNA", at positions 524 to 776 of the family's 1533-position model. The record is from RNAcentral.
UACGUAGGGUCCGAGCGUUGUCCGGAAUUAUUGGGCGUAAAGAGCUCGUAGGCGGUCUGUCGCGUCGGUCGUGAAAACUUGGGGCUUAACCCUGAGCUUGCGGUCGAUACGGGCAUGACUGGAGUUCGGCAGGGGAGACUGGAAUUCCUGGUGUAGCGGUGAAAUGCGCAGAUAUCAGGAGGAACACCGGUGGAGAAGGCGGGUCUCUGGGCCGAUACUGACGCUGAGGAGCGAAAGCGUGGGGAGCGAACAGG